RNAcentral lists this long non-coding RNA (5322 nucleotides) under Nicotiana benthamiana. Its description in RNAcentral is "long non-coding RNA (NBEN_LNC025410)". Lineage: Eukaryota; Viridiplantae; Streptophyta; Magnoliopsida; Solanales; Solanaceae. The record is from RNAcentral.
GCCUUCUGAAGACCCGGAAUCACAAUAGGCACAACUGGUGCCUGAACAGGUGCUGCUGGAGUCUCCACAGCUGGAGCCUGCUCCUGAUCCGGGAAAACUGGUAGGUCAACAAGUGCUGCCCCCUCAUCUCUGCCUCGACCACGAACUCGACCGCGUCCACGGCCUCUAGUGGCCUCAGUAGGUGAUACAGGUUGUCGUCUGCCACAUCUAGUAGCACGGGUUAUCACCAUCUAUGAGUGAAUAGAAUAAUAGAAUUUAGUUCUCGGAGCAACAAAGUCGCACGAUAAGAAUUCCAAGAAUAUAAAGUUUCUUAAUGGUUCUGCAGCAUCCCGAGGAUAGGUACAAACGUCUCCAUACCGAUCUGCGAGACUCUACUAAACUGUCUCAUGACUCGCGAGACCAAGUAACCUGGCUCUGACACCAACUUGUCACGACCCCAACCCGAUCGUAAUGGCACCGAGCACACUACUAGGCAAGCCCCACCAUUUAUAACAAUAACCCCAAUUUAUUAAAUAGAUAAAGAUAAUGCCAUUUAAGUCAAAAGUCUGAAAUACUGAUAAUAAUGCGGAAUAUCUAACAAAAUAACAAUACAGCCCAACUAGGACCCGAUGUCACGAACAUGAGCCUCUAGAAUACAGAGUAAUAUCCUACUACAAAGUCUGUCUAAAACUGAAAAUACGGAAAUAAAUGAUAGAAAUAGAGGGGAGAAUCAUCGGCUGUGAACACCCUGCAGAUACCUCAAAAUACUCCCGAAAUAAAACUUUGAAUCAACUAGAUCUACUCAGCCUGAGACUACCCUGGAUCAGCACGCAAGGUGCAGGGAGUAAAGUGAGUACUCCGACCCAAUGAGUAAUAAACAUAACUACAGUCUGUAAGGAAGAAAACGCAGAAAAUGCACAAACUUUUCUAUAUCUAGCAGCUCAUAUCCAAAAUAGUGGAAACAGUAUACAACAAGUUAUACAGUUAAGAAAUAAUGCAUGAAAGAAUGCAACACAUAUAACGGUACACACUAGUACCCGCUGCGGCGUGAAGCCCACUCCACUUAUCUAACGUCGAUGGCGCUCAUUGGGGGUGUGUACUGACUCCUGAGGGGCUCCUAUAGUCCAAGCGCAAUAUCAGCCAGGUAUUGGCAUAAAAUAAGCUCUCGGCCUCAAUAUCAAUAUAUAUAAUCGCUGCGGCGUGAAACCUGAUUCAUAUCAAGGAAACAUCCUCACUACCGGGUCCCCGACCCAUCUCAAUAAAAUAAGUUCACACCAAUUGGGCGUGACAUACUAUAGGGAUUUUAGCCCUCACAUCCUUAUUCAUUUAAUGUUAAUGUAUAAAAUACAGUUAUUAUAUUAUUUUUGACAUUUGAAAACAUGACUGAGAAUCUAUGUUAUGCACAAAAAUGAGGAAAACACAUAAGGAUCCCCUAAGGAUUCUACAGGUCGGCACAAGGCUCAAACACGGCAAUAAGCCCAAUUCACAAUAAUAAAGUAUGCAUCUCAAUCGCCAAUAUAGUAAACAUUAACACUUGGAAUGGACUAAGUCUGAAUCCCCAAUAGUAAACGACCCCGCUCUCAUCGUGGAAUGCAUCUCACACCUCAAUAUAGCAUUAGAAUGUGAAAGUCUGGGGUUUCAAACCCUCAGAGCAGCAUUUACAUUCAUUACUCACCUCUAGCCGGCCGAAAACUAGCUAGCAAUGUCCUUGCCUCUCGAAUCGACCUCCUCGCAUGUCGAAUCUGGCCAAAACUACAACGAAUACAUUACAAUAGUCUAAGGGAAUAUAACCCAAUCAAAAAGACUCAAAAAAUAUCAAAAACCACGAAAUUUGCAAAACCCGAGCCCUGGGCUCACUUUUCGAAAGUCAAAAAAUUUAACACCAAAAUAUUUCUUAUCUCUCCACGAGUCUAUUCAUGUAAAAUUUAUCAAAAUCAGAGUCCAAAUGCUCCCAUAAAUUCCAAUUUCUCAUAAAAAACCCAAGCCCUAGUUCUUCCCCUUUUUACUCAAAUUUCAUGAAUUUAGGUGUUGAAAUCACAAUUAGAUGAUGUUUCUAGGCCAUAGGGCUUACCUCCAAUCGAUUCCUAGUCAAAAACCUCUAAAUUCCUCAUCAAAAGCUCCCAAGGUUGCUUGAGAAUGGUGGAAAAUAGACUUGGUUCGCGGAUGAAAUGUUAUUAAAAACCCUCUCUGCUCGUCUAUUUCCUUCUAUGCGAACGCGAGACCCCCCCCCCCCCCNNNNNNNNNNNNNNNNNNNNNNNNNNNNNNNNNNNNNNNNNNNNNNNNNNNNNNNNNNNNNNNNNNNNNNNNNNNNNNNNNNNNNNNNNNNNNCCCCCCCCCCCCUCGCGUUCACGAUGCACAAAAAUUCCUCAGAUCAAAUUAAGCCUUCGCAAAUGUAUCUGGUCUCCCGCGAACGUGAAGGCGCAGGGCACAGACAUAUGCGAACUCGACCUAUUGAACAGGAACGCGUUGAACACCCAGACUGACCCUCUACUUUACUCUACGUGAACGCGUGCCCCAUCCCGCGAACGCGAAGCGCCAAUGCCUCAACCUACGCGACCACGUUGAUCAUUUUCCUGACCUCCAAAAUUAACCCUACGCGAACGUGACACUUGCCACGUGAAUGCGAAGGCUUAAAAAUAGUCUACACUGCUGUUGCAUUUUCUGCAACACUCAAAGUCCAAAAAUCCUUCUGUUAAUCACCCGGAAUCACCCCGAGGCCCAAGGGACCUCGACCAAAAACACCAACAUAUACCAAAACAUCAUACAAACUUAUUCCAAUCAUCAUAACACGUCAAACAACACUAAAAUCAUAAAUUCACAUAAGAUUCAAGCCUAAGUUUCUUCAAAACUUCCGAAUUGCACAUUCGAUAAAAAACCCGACCUAAACACCUCCGAAUGACCUGAAAUUUUACAUAGAUAUCCAAAAUUACCUAACAGAGCUACUGUAACUCUCGAAAUUCCAUUUCAAGCCUUGAAUCAUAAUCUCACCUAUCAAUCGGAAAUCGCCAAAAUUUAAACUUCGCCAAUUCAAGCCUAAUUCUGCAUCGGACCUCAAAAUUCAAUUCCGAUAGCACUCCUAAGUCAUAAUCAUCCCCCGAAGCUAAUCAAAUCAUCAUGAUUCACAUCUGAGCCCUAUAACUAAAUAGUCAACUUCCAGUUGACUUUUCCAAAGUAAGCUUCCCUUUAAGAGACUAAAUGUCUCAUUUUCAUCUGAAACCAAUCCAAUUCUACCUGAUAAACUCAAAUACUGAUAUUGAAACAUAGAUAAGUAUAAUAUGAGGUAAACAAGGCGGUAACUCACGUGACAACGGGCCGGGUCAUCACAAAAUAUAGUCUCGAGUUGAUUACAAUGAGCAAGCAAUUAAAUCACAGAACACUAAUCAGAAAUGUGACAGGACUAUUGAAAUUACGAAUCUACAUUAGAGAAUCAUCAUCAAUUCCAUUUCAUAUCUCAACAUGUGAAGCUACAUGAUAGAGUCUCGAGGUAUGUACCUAGAAUGAGAAAGGAAUAGAAAAUGAGCAAAUCAACAGCAACACAGGACUUAGCAAAAGCUCCAGAAAUCCAGCAAGGGAUAACGGGGUCUCGAAAAAUAAGUAAUUUCUGCUGGGCCUUUAUCCUUUUUGUAGGUUCAUUAGGCUUCUUAUUAGUUGGAACUUCCAGUUAUCUUGGUAGAAAUUUGAUAUCUUUUUUUCCGCCUCAGCAAAUCAUUUUUUUUCCACAUCUGCUGGGCCUUUAUCCUUUUUGUAGGUUCAUUAGGCUUCUUAUUAGUUGGAACUUCCAGUUAUCUUGGUAGAAAUUUGAUAUUUUUUUCCCGCCUCAGCAAAUCAUUUUUUUUACUUAAAGUAGACUCUUAAACACCCAAGAGUGCUUCAGUGAUCAACAAUCACUAAAACUGGCUCAAAAUUGAUCCGUUUGAACCCAAAUCAACUAAAAACCAAAUCAGAGAUCAUUGUGGACUUUAAUUACUAGAAUCUGAACUAAGAGAAGUCAAUCAAUCACAACAUUUGAAAUUAAACUUGAGGAAUAGAUGGAAAAGUACUAUUUUUUGGGGUUUUCAGCUUUUGUAUAUAUAUUUUUUGAUUUUUUUAGGUUGGAAAAAGGGAUUUCAAACUUUGAGAUCUAGAAUUUAAAAUCUGAAAUUCAAAUAUUUCAAUCCGGAAACUAUGGCCUAUUUGUUGGGAAUUAGAUGACUGAAAAAAGACCCCUCACCAAGGCAAUUGUGAUGCAUUUUAUAGGCAUCCAGAAGAGAGCAACAGACUUCAAAAUUUCUUUUAGGUCCCUGUUAAUUUUCCACUUUUAGUCCCUGUAUUUUUAACUUGGGACACAAGGACCUACCACUAUCAAUCUAAACUUUUAACUACCACUCAUCCUAGAAGCUUCUAGUAAUUUCCAAAUUCAGUCCCCAAAUGAAAUCCCCAAAUUAACCCUUUAUUAACUAAUUAUACUUAGGAUUGACCCACUAACUCUAAUCAACUAAACUAAACAUGGAUGUACUAAACUAUAACUAAAAGUUAUCUGACAAAAAAAAAAAGAAUUAAUCACAGAAUUUGUUCAAUUAUUAACCAACUCGAUCAACAAUAAAAAGUAUACCACUAUAUUAGUCUAACAGAACUAAGCAUAGAGGUCAAGCUAAACUAGAAAACAUUUAAAAGACAACUACCAUAUUGAACUAAUCGGAACGAAUAGUUAGCAGGCGAUAGUUAAACUAAAAAUCAAAACCUAUCGGACCCUAAACAUUAACUAAUCAUGCAAACUAAUUAUUGUCAAAAUAAUUCUAACACUCUAAUUGAAUCCACAUGCUAGCAAGAAAAAUAGGGAUAUAAGAGUGACUGAAAAAGAAAUAAAAAGGAAGGGAACAAACUUACUAAACAAAAUCCGUCCAGUUCAUCAAUUCUCUAAUUUGGCCAUUUCCGAUGAAAUUCGAGCUCUAAUGGCACUAAAAUCUUUAUGAGGUCAGUCCAGGAACCCUAUCAUAUCUCAUUUGGUAAGGAUUGGUUAUUUAAGUUUUGGCUAGAGAAUCUAAAAAUAUAAAUUCGAGAAUUUACAGUGAGAUUCGAGAUGUGUGGUUAUGAGGGUUGGGUAGAGAACGAUAAGGAGAACCUAUGGUGUGAAUUUGGGAUAAGUGACAUCAUGGCCAAAAAACUUUAAAUGGAUAUUCGAUGAGCUCUAGUGGGAUUUGAAAGAAACAAGCAACAUAUUCGAGUAGAGGAGGCGGAGAGGAAGUUAGGGUGUUAUUUUGGGGUGGUUUGGAGGUGGUAACGUUCACCGCCGGCGGCGACUUCCGGCGGCGUUACAGAGAUACGAGGAAGACGACUUAUGUAUUAGGGUUAGUUAAUUUUUUU